Molecule: ribosomal RNA, 817 nt
Filed under: uncultured Actinomycetes bacterium
Lineage: Bacteria; Bacillati; Actinomycetota; Actinomycetes
Description: bacterial SSU rRNA
Rfam family: Bacterial small subunit ribosomal RNA
Source: RNAcentral
GAAUGCGCAGAUAUCAGGAGGAACACCAAUGGGCGAAGGCACAUCUCUGGGCCGUAACUGACGCUGAGGAGCGAAAAGCGUGGGGAGCGAACAGGAUUAGAUACCCUGGUAGUCCACGCCGUAAACGGUGGGUGCUAGCUGUGGGCCACAUUCCACGUGGUCCGUGACGAAGUUAACACAUUAAGCACCCCGCCUGGGGAGUACGGCCGCAAGGCUAAAACUCAAAGGAAUUGACGGGGGCCCGCACAAGCGGCGGAGCAUGCGGAUUAAUUCGAUGCAACGCGAAGAACCUUACCAAGGCUUGACAUAUAGAGGAAAAGUGCAGAAAUGCACUCCCCGCAAGGUCUCUAUACAGGUGGUGCACGGUUGUCGUCAGCUCGUGUCGUGAGAUGUUGGGUUAAGUCCCGCAACGAGCGCAACCCUCGUCCUAUGUUGCCAGCACGUAAUGGUGGGAACUCAUGGGAUACUGCCGGGGUCAACUCGGAGGAAGGUGGGGAUGACGUCAAAUCAUCAUGCCCCUUAUGUCUUGGGCUUCACGCAUGCUACAAUGGCCGGUACAGAGGGCUGCAAUACCGUAAGGUGGAGCGAAUCCCAAAAAGCCGGUCUCAGUUCGGAUUGAGGUCUGCAACUCGACCUCAUGAAGUCGGAGUCGCUAGUAAUCGUAGAUCAGCAACGCUACGGUGAAUACGUUCCCGGGCCUUGUACACACCGCCCGUCAAGUCACGAAAGUCGAUAACACCCGAAGCCGGUGGCCUAACCGCAAGGAGGGAGCCGUCGAAGGUGGGAUUGGUGAUUGGGACUAAGUCGUAACAAGGUA